GACAUCAUGUCUGUAGUGCGUAGUGCACACGAACGCAGACCCGAAAGUGGAAGCCGUUCCGGCUCAUAAGAUGGCGAACUCGUGUCCGGUGUACUCGACAAAUGAUAUAACUUUAUCUUUUCUGAUGGUGAACUGAAGAAUAAGAGUGCACUCAUGUGGAGCCAUGCUUGUGUAGCACUGCGGUAGACGUGUCCGAAUAAUUCAUAAAGAAGACUCCGAAUUCUCUCCCAGAUAUCACACUCUACUCGCAUCAUAAAAAUGGCUACGGGUUUGUACAUCGUGCCACGCUUUCGUCAUCCAAUAGAUAAGUUUAAUGCGACCACGUGCUUGUGUUACUCUAAAUAAGGUAGAAAAUAUUUUAGUCAAAAUUCAGUUAGUCCAAAGAUUUUAAUUUAAGUAAAGCAUUUC
Molecule: long non-coding RNA, 408 nt
Organism: Copidosoma floridanum
Lineage: Eukaryota; Metazoa; Arthropoda; Insecta; Hymenoptera; Encyrtidae
Source: RefSeq, a predicted model, not a curated record